UCGGGAAUUUUGGGCAAUGGGCGAAAGCCUGACCCAGCAACGCCGCGUGAAGGAUGAAGUAUUUCGGUAUGUAAACUUCGAAAGAAUAGGAAGAAUAAAUGACGGUACUAUUUAUAAGGUCCGGCUAACUACGUGCCAGCAGCCGCGGUAAUACGUAGGGACCAAGCGUUGUUCGGAUUUACUGGGCGUAAAGGGCGCGUAGGCGGCAAUUCAAGUCAUCUGUGAAAUCCCCGGGCUCAACCUGGGAACUGCAUUUGUGACUGUAUAGCUAGAGUACGGCAGAGGGGGAUGGAAUUCCGCGUGUAGCAGUGAAAUGCGUAGAUAUGCGGAGGAACACCGAUGGCGAAGGCAAUCCCCUGGGCCUGUACUGACGCUCAUGCACGAAAGCGUGGGGAGCAAACAGGAUUAGAUACCCCUGUAGUCCCUGAGCGGGCUGGCAAGGCGCAU
Molecule: ribosomal RNA, 447 nt
Filed under: uncultured bacterium
Lineage: Bacteria
Description: bacterial SSU rRNA
Rfam family: Bacterial small subunit ribosomal RNA
Source: RNAcentral